This 384-nucleotide ribosomal RNA is filed under the name uncultured bacterium. RNAcentral's name for it is "bacterial SSU rRNA". It matches the Rfam family "Bacterial small subunit ribosomal RNA", at positions 42 to 451 of the family's 1533-position model. The record is from RNAcentral.
UCAGGCCUAACACAUGCAAGUCGUACGAGAGUUUUUAACUCUAGUGGCGGACGGGUGAGUAACACGUGAGAAUCUACCCUAAGGAGGGGAAUAACAGCUGGAAACGGUUGCUAAUACCCCAUAUGCCGAAAGGUGAAAGGAUUUAUCUACCUUAGGAAGAGCUCGCGUCUGAUUAGCUAGUUGGUGAGGUAAAGGCUCACCAAGGCCAUGAUCAGUAGCUGGUUUGAGAGGACGAUCAGCCACACUGGGACUGAGACACGGCCCAGACUCCUUCGGGAGGCAGCAGUGGGGAAUUUUCCGCAAUGGGCGAAAGCCUGACGGAGCAAUACCGCGUGAGGGAAGAGAAGCCUGUGGGUUGUAAACCUCUUUCUCAAGGAAGAAGUU